Strongylocentrotus purpuratus (purple sea urchin) is the source of this 2162-nucleotide long non-coding RNA. RefSeq lists it as uncharacterized. The transcript has 2 exons. The record is from RefSeq and is a predicted model, not a curated record. NCBI's taxonomy places the organism in Eukaryota, Metazoa, Echinodermata, Echinoidea, Camarodonta, Strongylocentrotidae.
AUGCAACCAUCCUAAUGACUAGACGACGCUAUAUUGGGACCGUGAGUGUGCCGUGCUGCUCCAGAAGAGGUGAUUUUGCGUUGGCUCCUUUUAAUAUUAUAUAGCGAAUUCGCUGGUCACUUUCUCUUGUUUACAAGCCAUCAAGAUCUCCAGAGUCUCCUCUCACUAAUCAUACUGAGACACAGGCAAAAUGUCGACAAUAAAGAAGGUCACUGAUUUCUUAUAUCGAGGAUUCACACUAUCGAUGGUGACUCUGACUGUGUAUGGGGGAGUAGUUCUCACAUCCAGAUGGUACAACAUGAUAGAGGAGCGAAAGGUGAGGCAGAAGGAUAAGCUUCUUGCAGCGGGCAUGGAGGAAUCGAAAGCAGCUACUCCAACGGAGGCAAUCAACACUUAGUGAGCAAGCUUGGAGACUUCAUCCAGAGCAGUUAGAACAAUUUAAAAGAUGAUGUAACUGCAAUAUAAGAAGUGGAUCAUCCUGACCCUGAGCUGUGCCAUUGCUUCAUUUUAUAUUAAAUUUGAUAUCAUGGACAAGUGCUUUGUACCAAGAACAUUUUGAAAUUCCAUGUAGGUGUUUGGGCAUUGGACUGAUUGGGAUGUUUAUUUGAGUUAAACUUUUGUUCAAUGCUAUAAAUGUUGAAUGAGGCAAACUACAUGCAUUAUGAAAAAUACAGAGAUGUUUUUUUUUAUUUUGAUGUACCCCUACAUCAGCAAUGAAAGUUGUCUGCUCUCCAGUGCUAUCUCUGUAUUUUCAUAUUUUUUUUGUCUCAACACUCCUUGCAUAUUUGAGAACCCUCAUGAUCCUGCAGUUCUCAAGGAUUGGAGGCAUUCAACAAGAAAAGAAGAACUUGGAUGAGAAUAAUAAUAGUGCUGACAUCUGUCCGGCAGUGAUGCUCAUGGCUCAGAAAAUUAUUUUACCACUUUUAUAAGAUUUCUUUAGGUAUGUCUAAAUCAUGGAGUGAUCAAAAUCCUUUUUCUUGUCUAAUUUGAAGGAGAGGAAGAAAUCAUCCUUUUUUAAUGCACCCACACUAGUUUGACGUAGUUUUCUUCUUGUCAUUUUAUGUUGGAGAAUUCUAGACUGACAUUAUUGUCACUCUUUCUUUUCAUUUUGCAAUCUUUAAGAUAGUGAGCUUCAAUACUAUUAACUUUAUGAAUUUUGUAUGUAUUUAAAGCUUAUUUACAAUCUUAUCAGGGAUAUUAAAGUCAAACUGAAAUUUCUUUAACUUAAAAGUUAAAAACAUAGCAACUUUGCACAUUUUAAUUCUCAUUGAAUACUGUCAAAUGAUUAUGUUGUGACUGGUUAUUAAACUGAGGGUCAUUUCAUACUUUUCAUAGGGUCAUGUUCAAAUCUUAAAUGAAACAUACCCAUUUAGAUAUUAUACAUGUAGUGUUAUUACUUUAUAAUUGCAAAGCUGUUUCAGCCAUCCCAUUGGUUGAGUAUUACUUUUUUUUUUGUGGCCAUGUUUUCAUAAAAUGUGUUGUUUUUUAUACUAGGUUUCCUCAUGAGGAUCAUGCCACUGUGGUGAUGUAGAAGUCUGAUUGGGCCUUUGGGGAGGGGGGGGGGGGCGAGAAGGGUGACGAAAUGAACCACUCGUUCAGCUGCUCUAUGCAUCUGACUAAGAUGGUUUGUGCCCAGCAAUGUGCAUACAAUAUACGAUUUCUUCUUUUUUUCUUCAAAAAUGAGGCAAAAUAAACUUGCUGUACAAGUACAUGUAGAUAAAUAUGUGUAAUACUUUAUUAGUUAUUAGUUUAUUACAAUGAAUGUUUGCAAAUUUACACAUUAAAUAAUCAAAUAUUAUGGCCCAAACAAUUACGGUAGGAUGGUGUAAAUCCACCUAAUGAUGUUGAUUACAGUUGCAUGCUCAAUCUUGUGUUAAAAUGUACCAUGUAUAAUUAUGUACAUUUUGCAUUGAACCAUUUCUGUCCUUGUAGCCUGACAAAAUCAUCUUUGAUUGAUAUAUUCCUUUAUAAAGGCUUUGAUUUUGUCAUGAAUGAGCCGAGAUAAAUGUACACAGAGAACCUAAAAUAAAGAAUUUUAUGGUACACGAUAGGAAAAUAUAACAUGAAGUACAUGUACGACGUACGUGGUGCAUUUGUAAUGAUUUGUUAAACUAUUCUUAUCCAAAUCUGCGAGGAUUUAUAAAGAAAACAGUGAAACUCCA